RNAcentral lists this ribosomal RNA (392 nucleotides) under Nasutitermes ephratae. RNAcentral describes it as "partial 16S ribosomal RNA". Lineage: Eukaryota; Metazoa; Arthropoda; Insecta; Blattodea; Termitidae. The record is from RNAcentral.
CAUCUUUUCUUGUUAGUUUUUGAAGUAUGGCCUGCCCACUGACUUAGAGUUGAAGGGCCGCGGUAUUUUGACCGUGCAAAGGUAGCAUAAUCAUUAGUUCUUUAAUUGUGAUCUGGUAUGAAUGGCUUGACGAGACAUAAGCUGUCUUAGAAGUAUUGAUUUAUUGAAUUUGGUUUUUGAGUUAAAAUUCUUAAAUGUUUUUAUGGGACGAGAAGACCCUAUAGAGUUUGACAAUUUUCCUAUUUAUUCGUUGUUUGUUUUAUUUACAUUGAGUGGGAGUGAAUUGUUUUGUUGGGGUGAUGGGAGGAAUAUUGUUAACUCCUCUUUAUUUUUAUAUAUUUAUGUAUAUAUUUUUGAUCCAUUUAUUUUGAUUAUAAGAUUAAAUUACCUUA